RNAcentral lists this non-coding RNA (31 nucleotides) under Mus musculus (house mouse). The record is from RNAcentral. Lineage: Eukaryota; Metazoa; Chordata; Mammalia; Rodentia; Muridae.
UAAAAGAGGGAACGACAAUUCCUGCCACAUC